AACGAACGCUGAUGGCGGGCCUCAUACAUGCAAGUCGAGCGAGAAAACCUUCGGGUGAGUAGAGCGGCGCACGGGUGAGUAACGCGUGGGUAAUCUACCUCUUGGAUGGGGAUAACUACUGGAAACGGUGGCUAAUACCGAGUAAGCUCCUGAAAUCAUAAAGGUUUUUGGAGGAAAGGUGGCGCAAGCUACCGCCGAGAGAUGAGCCUGCGUCCCAUUAGCUUGAUGGUGGGGUAAAAGCCUACCAUGGCUACGAUGGGUAGCUGGUCUGAGAGGAUGAUCAGCCACACUGGAACUGGAACACGGUCCAG
RNAcentral lists this ribosomal RNA (311 nucleotides) under uncultured bacterium. Its description in RNAcentral is "bacterial SSU rRNA". It matches the Rfam family "Bacterial small subunit ribosomal RNA", at positions 29 to 334 of the family's 1533-position model. The record is from RNAcentral.